RNAcentral lists this long non-coding RNA (415 nucleotides) under Calidris pygmaea (Spoon-billed sandpiper). RNAcentral describes it as "lncRNA (ENSCPGG00000007929.1)". Lineage: Eukaryota; Metazoa; Chordata; Aves; Charadriiformes; Scolopacidae. The record is from RNAcentral.
CCCCCCCCCCGACCCCACUAACCCCUCUGCCUUCCCCUCUGCCCCAUCCAGACUCCUCCGGCUGCUCCUCCAGCGCUGCCCUCAGGAUGAGAGCGGUGGGGCUCUUCUUGCUGUGUCUGCCAGCAGCGCUCCUGGUCCAGGGUCAGUACAGCAGGUUUGAAGGCAUCACCUACCCCGAGCCGGUGCAAUAUUCCCAGUACGACCAGCAAUCAGAAAUUCAGGAUUACUACGACUAUCACGAUGUGACCCCCCGUGCCCCCGAGGAGCAGUUUCGGUACCAGUCCCAGCAGCAAUCCCAGCAUGAAAUCGUGCCAGCCCCGACCCCAGGUGGGUGGCAGCCACCUCCCCCCCACUUCCCCACCCCCAGCUCUGGAUUUGGGGGGGUCUCCAUCCCUCCCUGCACCCUUAGCCCAGC